CCUACGGGGGGCAGCAGUGGGGAAUAUUGGACAAUGGGCGAAAGCCUGAUCCAGCCAUGCCGCGUGUGUGAAGAAGGCCUUCGGGUUGUAAAGCACUUUCAGUGGGGAAGAAAGCCUUGGGGCUAAUACCCUCGAGGAAGGACAUCACCCACAGAAGAAGCACCGGCUAACUCCGUGCCAGCAGCCGCGGUAAUACGGAGGGUGCGAGCGUUAAUCGGAAUUACUGGGCGUAAAGCGCGCGUAGGCGGUCUGAUAAGCCGGUUGUGAAAGCCCCGGGCUCAACCUGGGAACGGCAUCCGGAACUGUCAGGCUAGAGUGCAGGAGAGGAAGGUAGAAUUCCCGGUGUAGCGGGGAAAUGCGUAGAGAUCGGGAGGAAUACCAGUGGCGAAGGCGGCCUUCUGGACUGACACUGACGCUGAGGUGCGAAAGCGUGGGUAGCAAACAGGAUUAGAUACCCUUGUAGUC
Molecule: ribosomal RNA, 465 nt
Filed under: Vreelandella stevensii
Lineage: Bacteria; Pseudomonadati; Pseudomonadota; Gammaproteobacteria; Oceanospirillales; Halomonadaceae
Description: partial 16S ribosomal RNA
Rfam family: Bacterial small subunit ribosomal RNA
Source: RNAcentral